AGUUCUCUUCCUGCCACCACUUGAAGAAGGACGUGUUUGCUUCCCCUUCUGCCGUGAUUCUAAGUUUCCUGAGGCCUCCCCAGCCAUGCUGAACUAUAACAAUGCAGUGUCUUCAUUCAUAAUGGAUUGCAGUUCCCCACUCAGGAAGAGGACAUUUUUUUUAAAACUACAUGAUACAACUGAGAGCUUGGAAGCUAUCCAUGCAUAAGUUUUAAAACCCAGCAGCUUCAUGGUUUCCUCCUUCUGUUGGCCUGGCCAGUGGACACAGUGGUCACGUUCCUGGCAUGGAGAUGUCAUUCAUGGUCUCUCAGACCCAAGUGUUACCAGUGAAGGGUGUCCAGGUUCUUGGCGCUUUGAACAAAGAAUUGGACAAAACUCACAAACAAAGCAAGAAAAGAAAGAAGCAACAAAAGCAGAGAUGUAUUGAAAAUGAAAACACACUCCACAGGGUGGGAGCAGGCCGAGCAAGCAGCUCAAGGGCCCAGUUACAGAACUUUCUGGGGUUUAAAUACCCUUUAGAAGUUUCCAUUGGUUACUUGGUGUACACCCUAUGUAUAUGAAGUAGUGGCCUGUGAUCAGUCUGAUUGGUUGGAAGGGACCAAUCAGAAUGCAAACGUCUGAUUAGUUGUGGAAAGUGACCAAUUAGAGGCUGAAGUGAAGUUACAAAGUAAUACUCCCACGCAAAUGAAGACUUGGCCCACAACCAACCUGAUUGGUUGUGAGAGGGGACCAAUCAGAGGGACUUUCAGUUUUUCACCUGCAAUGCAGAAAAAGGGUGGCAGGUGAGGGGUGUUGCAAAGGGAGUAGCCUCUGGUCCUUUUGUUACUUGGGCACUUGGGCGUGGAAAGUGGGGGUUUUCCUUUUGAUUUAGUUCUAGGAAGUCAGCGUGAAUUGGCCUUACAUUCCCUGCCUCCAGACCCUAUUCUCCUGCCUCACAAGUGCUCCUAGGAGCUGUACAUGCCUGUCUUUGUCCCCAUGUAGUCAGCUCGUUACAGGUGGGUCCUGCUGGGUCUUUCGUUCUUGCUUCUCUGCUUCAAGAUGGCUAAUAAGUCCUGGUCCAGUGAGUCCCCAGUGCAGACAUAGAGCAGAAGGGAAGUGGGUCCAGUUGCAUUUCCUGCAGUUUAAUAAAGAACCCUGUGCUCUCUGGCCCAUUACCUAAAGCUGAUAUUGUGCUUGGAACGUGUAGUGUUAUCCAAUCCAGCUUUACCACUGCUAAAGCUGAUACCACGCUUUGAUCCUCUGCUUGCUCAUUUUGCCAAGUUCUUAACUGCGUGGAACUGGAAGGUGAGGGCUGGAUGAUUGAUUUUUCACCCUGCCCCCAAACUCCAACAACCGAAACCAAGGGUUCUUGAAGAGAGAGGGGCAGGGCAGCAACAGGGAGACUGAAACUUGGGGUGGG
This 1399-nucleotide long non-coding RNA is filed under the name Homo sapiens (human). RNAcentral describes it as "HSALNT0313712". Lineage: Eukaryota; Metazoa; Chordata; Mammalia; Primates; Hominidae. The record is from RNAcentral.